This 634-nucleotide long non-coding RNA is filed under the name Vigna radiata. RNAcentral's name for it is "long non-coding RNA (VRAD_LNC017002)". Lineage: Eukaryota; Viridiplantae; Streptophyta; Magnoliopsida; Fabales; Fabaceae. The record is from RNAcentral.
CGAGACAUUUUACCAAGAGCUAUUUGCUGUAUCAAAAUAAAAUGAACAAAAAAAAAAUUGGUUGCUAUUUGGUGUGCUUGGCCGAGAGUUUUCUCAUUGAUUGGUGUGUUUGAUUGCUUCAUUUAGAGCCUCUUUUUCAUCUCCAAUACAGAAUAUUUUGGUUUGAGGUUUGCCAAAAUUAUUUCCAGCAUUAAUUCGGUCUUGCUCUUCAUGUAUGCGUAGCAUGUUGAUGUGAUUUUGCUCCUUAGUUGUGUUAAUUUUUCUUUGUUGUCUUGCUCAUUUUGUGCCACUGUUUUGACUCCAUUUUCUUGCUGCUUUGUCUUCAUAAAAUCAUUAGAUUGCUGCCUCCUUAUUUUGUGCCAAGUUUCUUGAUUUUUUAGGUUCCAUUUUCAUCAUUUGUAUUGUAGUUUUCAUUCAUUCUUUGGCUUCUACCACGUGAUGUCUUGAUUUGGCUUCUUUGCAUUGAAGGUGGAUUGUACAUCUUUCCAUUUGCUUUGGACUUGAUUUGGUGCUCUCAAAGUGGACUUGUGAGACGCUUUACUAUUUUGAGCUUUCUUUCUUGUUGUAUUGAGUGAAAUCGUGGGCUGCUGAUUUUCCGUGGAUUGUACUGCUGUUUUGCCUUGAUUUGUGACUG